UGCUUCUGCUGCUGCCUUGCAUCCCUCCAACUGUUUCCUCAGAAACCAAGGUUAUGCAAGUAGGAAGUAAAACUGACUCUGCAGACUGCAUAGGUUGCUGAAACAACUGAUUAUUUCUGUCUUAUCCCAAAUAAAGCAGCUGGAAUGCACGGUCUGCCUAGAAGAAAAAAUGGCCUUUUUCUUACAUGAGAGAGGAGCUGAGGAAGCACAAGAGAAGGAACCAUGUGUGGAUGAAGCCACCUUGCCAAGGUGUUAAUCAGAGAAUAACAGGAUAUGCACAUCUGCCCAGCUGUGCCCUGCUUUGUGACUGCUCCUCCUCCUGCUUACAAGCACAUGUAAACCUGGAUGUCUCUUUGGAAGGUGCAGCUGAAAAUUGUUGGCUGUCCUAAUUGAUGUGUUCUUCUCCAGCACCCAGCUCAGCAUGAGGUCCUGUUUGAAAGGAGAACUGAACUAAAUAAAGUAAAUAAAUAAACCAAAUGAAGUUCCCAAAGUGAAUGGAAGGCACUACAGUUACACAGUUAAAACUGCUGCUGGUUUCAGGAUGGCUUUGUCGUCUCCCAUCUCACACACAUGGGAGAAGAGUAGUGGGAUACCAUAAUCCUGCCUACCACAAGAAUGUGGUAUUUUCCUUGGACUGCUGUGCAAAUUCUUGAAACCACCUUUGAAAGCCAUCUGAUCAGAUCUUGCAUGAAUUUGGGCUAUUGCAAGGAUACUCCAGAGGUUGUCUGAGGAGACAGUUCACAUAUGUCCAGUGUUAGACACCAAGAGAGGACAUGAGCUCCACAGAUCACAUUUCAACAGUGACUUUACCAGUUGUCAAGUACUGGAUUUUAAAGUUGAAAUUAGGUGUGUAACCUUAAAAUACCACUUUUGUGGAAUCUUGGCUUCUGGCAUGUGAGUCUUACCUUGGUGAUGUGAUGUGGACAACACUGCCAUGUCCUGGUGAAGUAGUGUGAGCAGGUUAUGUUUGCAACACCAGAGAGGAAAGGAACAAAGUAGAAACAUACUUUCAAUAUCAGGUAAAAAAAAUCCUGUAUUUAAAGGUGUAUUUCUUCUCUUAUAUUAGUACAAGUGUGGGAAAAUCUGGGAUACAGAACUUUCAAGCAAAAACAGUGUUUCAAACAAAAACAAUGUAAGAUUAGGUUCUACAGGAAUGGAUUUUGUAUAUCACAUUUUAGUCUUCUGCAUAAAUUGAAUAAGUUAUCAUUAUUGCAGUGGAGUUAUGGCAAAAUAAAUCUACUGGGUGUAUAGAAAUUGUAAUUCUUAGGAAUACAUCAGGAUUACAUCAGGACAAAUAAGGGCUGAAGGUGAACUUUGGUCAGACAGUAAAUACAAAAUAAAAAUACUGUACACAGACUUCUGAAUAAACACAUAGAAGCUUGAAAAAUUUCUUAAGAGAGCCAAAACAUCUUGCUGGCCUCUAUUUGUAGGGAGCACUAUUCUCCUUAUGAUGUAAGACAAGGUUCAGUUAUGGGCAUUUAUCUAAGUAUUUGUCAGUAUUUGUGUAUUUGUACUAACACUAGUUGGGACGGCUGUAUAUGGGUACAUCACGUCGAAGAAAAAUAAAGC
Molecule: long non-coding RNA, 1569 nt
Organism: Motacilla alba alba
Lineage: Eukaryota; Metazoa; Chordata; Aves; Passeriformes; Motacillidae
Exons: 5
Source: RefSeq, a predicted model, not a curated record